RNAcentral lists this ribosomal RNA (377 nucleotides) under Rhinophis cf. philippinus. Its description in RNAcentral is "partial small subunit ribosomal RNA". Lineage: Eukaryota; Metazoa; Chordata; Lepidosauria; Squamata; Uropeltidae. The record is from RNAcentral.
GCCCGAACGUAACACGACACACCACCGUCCGCCAAAUAACUACGAGUACAAACUUAAAAUUUAAAGGACUUGACGGUAUUUCACACUCAACCUAGAGGAGCCUGUCUACUAACCGAUAACCCACGAUUAACCCAACCGCUUCUAGCCCCCAGCCUAUAUACCACCGUCGCCAGCCUACCUUAUAAAAGAAACAAAGUGAGCUAAACAGUAAUACACUAAAACGACAGGUCAAGGUGUAGCUAAUGAAUCGGAUUAGGAUGGGCUACAUUUUCUAACCCAGACUAUACGAACCAGGCCAUGAAACAAGCCUUCGAAGGCGGAUUUAGUAGUAAGCCGAGAACAUAAUACUCAACUGAAACCAAUGCAAUGAAAUGCGU